This 395-nucleotide unclassified non-coding RNA is filed under the name fungal sp. Its description in RNAcentral is "partial internal transcribed spacer region". The stretch from base 1 to 46 matches the Rfam family "Eukaryotic small subunit ribosomal RNA", at positions 1786 to 1831 of the family's 1831-position model. Lineage: Eukaryota; Fungi. The record is from RNAcentral.
AAGUCGUAACAAGGUUUCCGUAGGUGAACCUGCGGAAGGAUCAUUAACACGUAUCCAACGUUAAACCCCCCUGUGAACCUUUAGUGUGCUCCCUCAUUCUGUUGGAACGUGGCAAUCCCUGGUAAAUCAUCGCCGAACAGUUUUGAUUCAGGGACUUCUGCAAAGAGUGCUGGUUGUAGCGCGAGGCAAGUGGCCUGGCAUUCCUCUGCUUGUUAGUGUCUGAAAGUGUCACUGGCUCUGUAAGAAUGGCGCAGUCACGAUCGCUGGAGGCCGACACGGCCGGCGACCGGGUCAGCGAGCUCUGCUCCCACUGUUACGACAAACCUCUGUUCCCCUCUAGUGAAAGCUAUUGGGUUAUAACUAAACGACUGUUAACAAUGGAUAUCUCGAUUCUC